Trichodelitschia bisporula is the source of this 90-nucleotide non-coding RNA. The record is from the annotation of a GenBank genome assembly. NCBI's taxonomy places the organism in Eukaryota, Fungi, Ascomycota, Dothideomycetes, Phaeotrichales, Phaeotrichaceae.
GGGCGGCUGGCGCAAUGGUAGCGCGUCGCCCUCCUAUCCUGCACUGGCUUAGAAAGGCGAAGGUUCUCGGUUCGAGUCCGGGGUCGCUCG